Molecule: small nuclear RNA, 98 nt
Filed under: Rhinolophus ferrumequinum (greater horseshoe bat)
Lineage: Eukaryota; Metazoa; Chordata; Mammalia; Chiroptera; Rhinolophidae
Source: RNAcentral
GCACAUAUGAGUAUACUGAAAUUGGAACAAUAUAGAGAGGAUUAGCAUGACCCCUGGGCAAGGAUGACAUGCAAGCUCAUGAAGUGCUCCAUAUAUAU